UCCGUAGGCGGGCUAAUAAGUCAGAGGUGAAAUCCCACAGCUUAACUGUGGCACUGCCUUUGAUACUGUUAGUCUUGAGUCAUAAUGAGGUAGAUGGAAUGUGUAGUGUAGCGGUGAAAUGCAUAGAUAUUACACAGAACACCGAUUGCGAAGGCAGUCUACUAAUUAUGUACUGACGCUGAGGGACGAAAGCGUGGGUAGCGAACAGGAUUAGAUACCCUGGUGGUCC
RNAcentral lists this ribosomal RNA (229 nucleotides) under uncultured bacterium. RNAcentral's name for it is "partial 16S ribosomal RNA". It matches the Rfam family "Bacterial small subunit ribosomal RNA", at positions 568 to 796 of the family's 1533-position model. The record is from RNAcentral.